UACAGUGUCUUUUAGGCACGUGGGUCAAAAUUCUAGGACACAAAUGAAGAAAGUGAGGCUCAAAUUUCUUUUGGAGAAUCGUUUUAUUACUUCGGCUGACUGGAGCUCAGCUGCAGGAGCUGGAGAGGAAAGAGACUUUAUCCUGGUUUAAGAGAAAAGACGUGGGAAGCUCCAGAGGGAACGGGCUUCAGGAGCGGUAACUCUGUAACACCGGAGUGAAAUUUGCAGUCACCAGGGCGGCGGUGGUGACAGAGUAAAGGGAGAAGGGAGAGAGGCAGAGAGGGAGAGGGGAGCAGAUACUUGGGAACGCAUCGCAGCAGGACAGACAGUCGACUCUGAAGGCGCUCAGCCGGCGACGGAGACGGAGGAGGAAGGUGUCGGUGAUGUCGUGGGGUUCGUGUGUGGGUUUAGGGUGCAGGAUGACGGCUGCCAAGAUCCUCCUUCCCUUCCUUGUUCUUCAGUCAUUUUGUGAAGGCUCCAAUCAGCCGCCACGCUUUCUGAACUACUUUUUUUCAACUUACCUCCUCAUCUAUGAAGACAUGCCUAUUGG
Molecule: long non-coding RNA, 550 nt
Organism: Xiphophorus hellerii (green swordtail)
Lineage: Eukaryota; Metazoa; Chordata; Actinopteri; Cyprinodontiformes; Poeciliidae
Exons: 3
Source: RefSeq, a predicted model, not a curated record